ACUGAACGCUGGCGGCAUGCCUUACACAUGCAAGUCGAACGGCAGCGGACCUUCGGGUGCCGGCGAGUGGCGAACGGGUGAGUAAUAUAUCGGAACGUACCUUUCAGGUGGGGGAUAACGUAGCGAAAGUUACGCUAAUACCGCAUAUUCUGUGAGCAGGAAAGCAGGGGAUCGCAAGACCUUGCGCUGAUUGAGCGGCCGAUAUCAGAUUAGCUAGUUGGUGAGGUAAAGGCUCACCAAGGCGACGAUCUGUAGCGGGUCUGAGAGGAUGAUCCGCCACACUGGAACUGAGACACGGUCCAGACCUCCUACGGGAGGCAGCAGUGGGGAAUUUUGGACAAUGGGCGCAAGCCUGAUCCAGCCAUGCCGCGUGAGUGAAGAAGGCCU
RNAcentral lists this ribosomal RNA (387 nucleotides) under uncultured bacterium. Its description in RNAcentral is "bacterial SSU rRNA". It matches the Rfam family "Bacterial small subunit ribosomal RNA", at positions 30 to 417 of the family's 1533-position model. The record is from RNAcentral.